Molecule: ribosomal RNA, 533 nt
Filed under: Weissella cibaria
Lineage: Bacteria; Bacillati; Bacillota; Bacilli; Lactobacillales; Lactobacillaceae
Description: bacterial LSU rRNA
Rfam family: Bacterial large subunit ribosomal RNA
Source: RNAcentral
AGAGUGUAAAGGCACAAGGGAGCUUGACUGUGAGACUUACCAGUCGAGCAGGUACGAAAGUAGGGCUUAGUGAUCCGGUGGUUCCGCAUGGAAGGGCCAUCGCUCAACGGACAAAAGCUACCCUGGGGAUAACAGGCUUAUCUCCCCCAAGAGUCCACAUCGACGGGGAGGUUUGGCACCUCGAUGUCGGCUCAUCGCAUCCUGGGGCUGUAGUCGGUCCCAAGGGUUGGGCUGUUCGCCCAUUAAAGCGGUACGCGAGCUGGGUUCAGAACGUCGUGAGACAGUUCGGUCCCUAUCCGUCGCGGGCGUAGGAAAUUUGAGAGGAGCUGCCCUUAGUACGAGAGGACCGGGGUGGACGUACCUCUGGUGUAUCAGUUGUUCCGCCAGGAGCAUCGCUGAGUAGCUAUGUACGGAUGAGAUAAACGCUGAAAGCAUCUAAGUGUGAAACUCGCCUCGAGAUGAGAUUUCCCAUUCUUUAUGAAGUAAGACCCCUCAGAGAUGAUGAGGUAGAUAGGCUAGAAGUGGAAGUGCGG